This 468-nucleotide ribosomal RNA is filed under the name Triticum aestivum (bread wheat). RNAcentral's name for it is "partial small subunit ribosomal RNA". The record is from RNAcentral. Lineage: Eukaryota; Viridiplantae; Streptophyta; Magnoliopsida; Poales; Poaceae.
AUGGCGUGUGCGCCAAAUUAUAUUGCCAUUGGCCUUGCCAACUAUGGUUUAUAUACGGGAACAAGGGUACUCUCACCGAGCUACAAGAACUUCCCACGGAAAUCCUCCUACAAGUUUCUCAAGGUCCGUGCCCUGCAGGGAAAUGAUGGUCGUAGAAGGCUGAUUGACAUAAUCCGAAUCAUCCCAGAGCUGUCAAGAAACUAUUUCAAAAGCGGGUCCAGGAGAGCUCUUUUCGGCGGCAUCGCGCUACUGGGUGGCUUUUAUGUUGCACAGACAAUAUCCCUGUCGUUCGGUGCUUUGGGCGUGAACGAUGUUAUAGCAGCAGUUGUGUGUGUGCUCCUGACCGAGUACGUGACAAAGUUCUACUACAGCCGGCCUAAGGUUACCUUCGCCGUCGCGCUCCUCAACAAUUUCAAGAUGGGUUUCACAUAUGGCCUCUUCAUUGAUGCCUUCAAGCUUGCUAGCUGA